UUAAUUAUUUCUUUUCUCCUAUUGAUUUGGCUUUGGUUUGCUCUUAUAAAACUACCUUUUAACACUAUUUUUAUUAAAAAAAAAAAAAGAAUACUUGAAAUUAUUGUGUGACAAGUAUCUUGGCUAGCUCUCCCCACUACCACCAUUAAAUGAAAAUAAAAAGAAUAAACCUGUGAUACAUAGUAAAAUUUAAAGCACUAUUCUAUUUUCUGCAGGUUGAUAUUCUCAAUAAUUGUACUCAGCAGAAGCAGGAACAACCUAAUCAUACUUUCACUUUUGCCCUCAUAAUUAUCUUAACUGAAUUGAAAUCUGGUGUGUUUAUAGUCCCAGCACCAUCAUUAAGCUAAAAAUUGAGCAUUCUGUCUUACCCUGAAAAAAUUCCAAUUAAGCCCAUUUGGAGAUCUGCACCGAAUGCCAGCACUAAUUCCUUUCUAUAAAGAUCAAGAGUGCCAGGAUGUCACACUACAGAGAGGUCCAUAGUCAGCUCAUUAGCAAGAUUGAUGAACUCGAAUAGUAGUUCCUACUGAUGUGAGCAUCUCAAUAUGAACUAAAGUCACAUCCUAGGAGACUGCAUGAUAACUCAGGGAGGUCAUCUCUCAUUAAAACCACGUUUAUGUGGACACUUCAAAAUGGAAUGAUCGAAAAAACUGAACUUUGGAAUGACACCAAAUCUUAAGAAACAGACAAAUGUAUUUAAGCACUCUUAGGGAGAUGAAUGAGUUCAAAUUAGAUGUUGAAUGUAAACAAAAUUGUAAUACGAGAAGAUAUUUCCAGAAGAUUUUGUUAAAUUCUUAAUGAAAUUGAUUUCUUCACAACAGAAUGAAACCUAUUUUAAAAAUCAGGUGCUAGAAUUUUUGUGUGAUUGUCUUAAGAGCUAAGGAAAAUCCUACUCUCAUUUAUGAAAAUACCUUAAUAAGCUAUUUGGAGUGAGAUGUGACACCAUGAAAGUAUAUAAGGAAUAAUAUUUGAAAUUAUUGUUUGUGAAAUGUGAAAAUGAAAUUGUUGAAUAACUCUGUUCCAGAAAUUGCUAACAAGGAUACCUGAUGCUGAGCUUUGACUGGCUUUAAUCCAGAUUCUUUGUUCUGGCACUGAUCUUUUGAAGUAGGAAAAUGCACUGAUCCUCAAAGAAAAGAACUACUGAUAAGAUGCCUACUACGAAGGACUCAAGUACACUAUGCCUCCAGGUCUGCUGCUCUUAAGGCUUCAAGAUGACUGACAGGGCCACCCAGAGGGCCAAGAAGGCUACAGUCCUGCCAACCUGGAUCCCUGCAGGAUGGAAAAAGAUAUACUAUACCAAGGCAAGAAUUUUUAUCUAAGACUUUAAUCUAGUCUCCUUCUUGCUGUGGAUAAUUGUGGAAAGGCAUGUUCCACCCUCCAGAUGGACCAGCAGAGAGCAAAGGGGCAGAACAGAAGUGACGCCCAGCAGAGGACUACGUGCCCUGAAGCAGCUAUGGCACAGAUUUCACUGGAAGGAAAGAAAUGGGUAGAGUCCUGUGUUCAAAGAAGAGCAGCUUUGGCAGCAUGGAGAAGUGGAGGCCUUGGAGAAACUUUGGCAUGGGUCUUAUGGAAUGGGACAGUGGCAAGGACGUUACUCCUUCAGCCAGCACUGAGGAUAGUAGGUGACAUCUGUGGGUAUCUUGGAAAGAAAAGAAAGACCUCUGACUCUAGCUAUGGUGAUGACACCAGAAAGACUGAUCUGUGAAUGCACAGGUUCACACUGUACGUCUCUUAGCAUAUUUCACAAGGGUAGGGAAUGUCCAAAAAUCAAGCUGCCUUUGAUCUUGGAAUUAUUGUAAUGUGGAUAUUGAAUACCAUAGCUGCAUUUCCAGGAACAAGCUUGAGCCCUCGUCCUAAACUCCAUUUUUAUUAGGCUCUGAAACAAAUCAGUCUCUGUUUAGAUCUCUGUACUACUCUGAAACAUUGGGAGGGACAGGACCUUAGAUGUCUUAACACCCUUCCAAGACAUUGUUAGGUGAGUCUUGCAUGAUCAAUCUCCCUAGCAUUCUGCAGGUGGCAAGCACUUCCAUGUAUUCCUCCUGUGGCUACAUUCCUAAGAUGUUUUCAUUGCAUUAACUUCUUCUUGCUCAUAUCUUUAUUUUUAAGCUCAAAAAAUAAGGGGAAAAAUGAGACUGUCAAUAUCUGUACUUACAGAAAGAAAGAUGGUACAGUAAUUAGGUUUACUGUUUUUAUUGUUUCUGUUCUUGUUCAACAUUUAGAGAAGAGUCUUGCCAACAAUUAUUUUUAAGAAAUUUUCACAAUGGAUUUCAUACAUUUCUAUUUAUUGGGAGCAAAAAGUAAUCUCAACUAUUAUCAAAAGAUACAGAUACUUUGUAGAUGGACCCAAAGAACUAUAAAAACAAUAAAGUAGCUUGUUUAUAAAUAAUGUAGUUUUAAAACUGUUGAAUGAAUAGAAUAUUGAUCAAUAUAUUGGGUCCAUGAUAAUCUGUGAAAGUCUGUAUUUAAUAAUCUAGAAUUGUUUCUUUCCCUACCACAACAAACACACAUUCCUUUGAAAAUACCCGAGUAAAGAUUCUACACAUACUUUCUAAAUUGUAUCCCCAGAAACCUGGCAGAAGCAAACACUGAGAUCCAUGCAAGGCAAAAACCACAGGGAAAGAGUAGGGAAGACAAUAUUAAUGGUGCCCAGAUGAUUUUCAAUGUGCUGGUGCAGCAUAAGUUCCUAAAGGAGAUACCACAGACAUCCUAGAUACCCUUGAGAGACUCACCAGAACUGGGGUGAACCUUCCAUGUUUUCAGAAGGGAAUAAACUUUUUAUAAUAAAUUUUUAAAGACUUAUUUAUUUGAAAGGCAGAGUUACAGAGAGGCAGAAACAGAGAGAGAGAGAGAGAGAGAAGUCUUCCAUCCACUGGUUCACUCCCCACAUGACAGCAAUGGCUGGAGCUGCACCAAUUGGAAGCCAGGAACCAGGUGCUUCUCCUGGGUCUCCCACACAGGAGCAGGGCCUCAAGGACUUGAGCCAUCUUCUAUUGCUUUCCCAGGCCAUAGCAAGGAGCUGGAUUGGAAGAGGAGCAGCCUGGACUAGAACCAGCACCCAUAUGGGAUGCCGGCACUACAGGAAGCAGCUUUACCCACUACACCACAGAGCCAGCCCUAAUAAUAAAUUUUUGACCAAUGAAGUAAACUUGGGGUAACAUCUUUUGCUAAUCAUUUUACUCCUUAAUAAAGUAACACAUUUGAAAAACAGAUUAAGGUUUUAAGAUAGAUAUUAGAAAGCAGCCUCACCCAAACUUGGCUCUCCAGUUCUUUGCUGUGAAGACUGGUAAAGUUUCUGUUAAACCUUUGCUAUAAAAACUCUACAGUUUGGGGUAGAAUUCUGAACUGAGAAAUCUCAAUAAAAGCUAUAUGCAUUUAAUUGUUUUCUAAAAUUACAUUGUAGUCAAAGUUACUAUAAAAAGUCAAAAUGGGACAGGUAUUUAGCAGAGCAGUUAAGAUGCCAGUAAAAUUUCUCAUGUCUCAAAACAGAAGGUGUGAGUUUGAGUACAGGCUCCACCUUCAAUUCCAGAUUCCUGCUGUUGUGCACCCGGGGAAGCAGCUCUUCAGUAUGGCUCAAGUAUUUAUUCCACAUGGAAGACCAGGAUUGGAUUCCCCACCUCAGCUUUAGCCUGACUAAACCCUGGCUGUUGUGGGUAUUUGGGGAGUAAAUAGUGAA
Molecule: non-coding RNA, 3670 nt
Organism: Oryctolagus cuniculus (rabbit)
Lineage: Eukaryota; Metazoa; Chordata; Mammalia; Lagomorpha; Leporidae
Source: RefSeq, a predicted model, not a curated record